Molecule: small RNA, 1017 nt
Filed under: Vigna angularis var. angularis
Lineage: Eukaryota; Viridiplantae; Streptophyta; Magnoliopsida; Fabales; Fabaceae
Description: Non-protein coding transcript
Source: RNAcentral
CACACUACAAGAAAUUGGCUAAUUACCGGCGGCUUAAUACCGAAGGCCUUGAGGCCGUCUGUAAAAGAGAGGUGCCGACGGCCAUAAAGAGAAGUACCGACGGGCUUAGUGAAAUUAAACUACCGAAGGUCAGGAAGACGAUAGCGAGGGAUGUGUGUCCUUCGGUAAUAGGCUAGACCCAUUAAACCAAGUGAUUCGUUCUAUUCGUCGAGGUCGUCCCCAAUUUCCUGAAACUGUGAAAACCCCCCUGCCCUACCUCUCUCGUCUACGUCUGCCAUCGUUUUACUUCGUGCUUCCAUUCUCUCGGCUACCUCUCUCGUGGCUUCGUUUUCGUUUGUGCUUCCAUUAUCUCGUCUACCUUUGUCGUUUACCUCUGUCUAUCCGGUGGCAUUGUGCGCCUCUCCGUUUUGUUCGGUCUCAUCAAGGUUCUUGGUGCCGUUGUGGGUGGGGUAGCCACAGGGGUGGUGUUUCGUCAUCAUUACGCUUUGGCGCCAUAGGAGUGGUGGUUCGUGGCUGUGCGCGUGAGGCUUGUGUUCAGAGUUGGCGAUGUGCAGGGGCUUCCCUCGAAUUGGGUGUUCUGUAGUGCGAGGUAAGUUAUGUGUUUGCUUGAUGGGUAUUUAAUCAUUUGAUAUCAGUUUGAUGGCUUGCUGCCCUUUUUUCACAUCAGAAGACGACACCUGGGAGGAGUCGAAGCAAUAAAAGAAAAUGAUAGGGAGAUUGGAACACGGGACAGUAAAGGAAAAGAGAAGUGCCUAUUAGCGCACCAGAUGAAAAAUCCCUUUGCCUUUACUCUAACAAGUUUUGGGGUUUCAAUUAGGAGCACAUAACGUUUGGAAGCUUCAAACGUAGUGGGUUAAAGUUAGUUGCAAAAGUGUCAUUGUUUAAGGGCUACACUCAAGUGUCGAAGACUUCAUCAUUUCCAGGAACACUUUUGGGUUUUGGGUGGACUUAUGAUGUUAUUGACAUAAUGGUUGCAGUAAGAAUACUAGAAAAAGCAAAUGUGGCAUUCUACCAAAC